RNAcentral lists this small RNA (127 nucleotides) under Marmota monax (woodchuck). Lineage: Eukaryota; Metazoa; Chordata; Mammalia; Rodentia; Sciuridae. The record is from RNAcentral.
GCUGGGCAUGGUGGUGCACACCUGUAAUCUCAGCAGCUCAGGAGGCUGAGGCAGGAGGAUUGCAAAUUCAAAGCCUUUCUCAGCAACUUAGCGAGGCCCUAAGUGACUCAGCGAGAUCCUGUCUCAA